AUUGAACGCUGGCGGCAUGCCUAACACAUGCAAGUCGAACGGCAGCACGGCAGUAGCAAUACUGUGGGUGGCGAGUGGCGGACGGGUGAGGAAUACGUCGGAAUCUGCCCAGUCGUGGGGGAUAACUAGCCGAAAGGUUAGCUAAUACCGCAUACGACCGAGAGGUGAAAGCGGGGGACCGCAAGGCCUCGCGCGAUUGGAUGAGCCGACGUCGGAUUAGCUAGUUGGUGGGGUAAAGGCCCACCAAGGCGACGAUCCGUAGCUGGUCUGAGAGGAUGAUCAGCCACACUGGAACUGAGACACGGUCCAGACUCCUACGGGAGGCAGCAGUGGGGAAUAUUGGACAAUGGGCGCAAGCCUGAUCCAGCAAUGCCGCGUGUGUGAAGAAGGCCUCGGUGUAAGAGACUUAUCUAGACGAAAGACGUAGG
RNAcentral lists this ribosomal RNA (428 nucleotides) under uncultured bacterium. Its description in RNAcentral is "bacterial SSU rRNA". It matches the Rfam family "Bacterial small subunit ribosomal RNA", at positions 29 to 455 of the family's 1533-position model. The record is from RNAcentral.